Molecule: ribosomal RNA, 497 nt
Filed under: uncultured bacterium
Lineage: Bacteria
Description: partial 16S ribosomal RNA
Rfam family: Bacterial small subunit ribosomal RNA
Source: RNAcentral
GAUGAACGCUGGCGGCGUGCCUAAUACAUGCAAGUCGAGCGAACGGACGAGAAGCUUGCUUUUCUGAUGUUAGCGGCGGACGGGUGAGUAACACGUGGAUAACCUACCUAUAAGACUGGGAUAACUUCGGGAAACCGGAGCUAAUACCGGAUAAUAUUUUGAACCGCAUGGUUCAAAAGUGAAAGACGGUCUUGCUGUCACUUAUAGAUGGAUCCGCGCUGCAUUAGCUAGUUGGUAAGGUAACGGCUUACCAAGGCAACGAUGCAUAGCUGACCUGAGAGGGUGAUCGGCCACACUGGAACUGAGACAUGGUCCAGACUCCUACGGGAGGCAGCAGUAGGGAAUCUUCCGCAAUGGGCGAAAGCCUGACGGAGCAACGCCGCGUGAGUGAUGAAGGUCUUCGGAUCGUAAAACUCUGUUAUUAGGGAAGAACAUAUGUGUAAGUAACUGUGCACAUCUUGACGGUACCUAAUCAGAAAGCCACGGCUAACUACGUG